Long non-coding RNA from Daphnia carinata, 564 nucleotides. RefSeq lists it as uncharacterized. The record is from RefSeq and is a predicted model, not a curated record. NCBI's taxonomy places the organism in Eukaryota, Metazoa, Arthropoda, Branchiopoda, Diplostraca, Daphniidae. The transcript has 2 exons.
AUUUGUAAUUAUUGAGGUAGAGUCUCAUACGUUGUGCCAUCCUGUCACGCGUGCCUACAUUUGCCCGGUACUGCGCAAGUAUGUUUGUGAAAUGUACGGAGCUACAGAAGACAACGCGCAUACCAAAUUUUACUGUCUUAUUACUCGCAGCCAAAAGUCGGCGCCUACGGCAAUCUUACUUAAAACUACUCGCCACAACGCAACUGGUAAACGGACUAAAGUGUCACAUGAUGGACACUUCAAGAAUUCGAUUGAUUGCCCAUUUUAGCAAUUGAUACUGUACGGCUUGUAUUAUUAUUUUAUUUCGAUGUGCUUAUCAUGACAUUUAGAAAAAUUUGUCAUAAAGAUUUCAAUGAAUUCAAUCGUGCUUGUGCUGCCAAUUCGUACGUAUCGAUAUUCAGUUGCCACAAAGGAGUUUUGAGUACACUGCGUCAACGAUACACUACGCAAGACUCACCUUUGCGCAUUUACAUUAAUUAACACGUUUCAUCUUGGCCUGAAGUCUCAACAUAUAUUGAAAAUCAAACUGUUGUCUCAGCGAAUACAUGUGUUCUAGUAGUUAAA